This 281-nucleotide ribosomal RNA is filed under the name Anaerostipes hadrus ATCC 29173 = JCM 17467. RNAcentral describes it as "Anaerostipes hadrus DSM 3319 partial 16S ribosomal RNA". It matches the Rfam family "Bacterial small subunit ribosomal RNA", at positions 524 to 803 of the family's 1533-position model. Lineage: Bacteria; Bacillati; Bacillota; Clostridia; Lachnospirales; Lachnospiraceae. The record is from RNAcentral.
UACGUAGGGGGCAAGCGUUAUCCGGAAUUACUGGGUGUAAAGGGUGCGUAGGUGGUAUGGCAAGUCAGAAGUGAAAACCCAGGGCUUAACUCUGGGACUGCUUUUGAAACUGUCAGACUGGAGUGCAGGAGAGGUAAGCGGAAUUCCUAGUGUAGCGGUGAAAUGCGUAGAUAUUAGGAGGAACAUCAGUGGCGAAGGCGGCUUACUGGACUGAAACUGACACUGAGGCACGAAAGCGUGGGGAGCAAACAGGAUUAGAUACCCCGGUACGGCUACUGACU